GACGAACGCUGGCGGCGUGCUUAACACAUGCAAGUCGAACGGAAAGGCCCUGCUUUUGUUGCUUGCUCGUUUGCCGAACGCGUGAGUAACACGUGUGUAACCUGCCCUUGUCUUUGUGAUAACUUCUGGAAACUGGGGCUAAUACCGGAUAUGAGCUCCUGCUGCAUGGUGGUGGUUGGAAAGUUUCGGCGGUUGGGGAUGGACUCGCUGCUUAUCCGCUUCUUAGUGUGGUAGUGGCUUACCAAGGGUUUGACGGGUAGCCGGCAUGAGAGGGUUAACGGGCACAAGGGGACUGAGAGACGGCGCAGACUCCAACGGGAGGCAGCAGUGGGGAAUAUUGCACAAUGGGCGGAAGCCUGAUGCAGAGACGCCGGGUGCGGGAUGACGGCCUUCGGGGUGUAAACAGAUUUCGACUGUGACGAAGCGAGAGUGACGGUAAUGGGUAAAGAAGCACCGGCUAACUACGUG
Molecule: ribosomal RNA, 468 nt
Filed under: uncultured bacterium
Lineage: Bacteria
Description: partial 16S ribosomal RNA
Rfam family: Bacterial small subunit ribosomal RNA
Source: RNAcentral